UACGUAGGGUGCAAGCGUUGUCCGGAAUUAUUGGGCGUAAAGGGCUCGUAGGCGGUCCAUCACGUCGGGAGUGAAAACUCAGGGCUUAACCCUGAGCCUGCUUCCGAUACGGGCAGACUAGAGGUAUGCAGGGGAGAACGGAAUUCCUGGUGUAGCGGUGAAAUGCGCAGAUAUCAGGAGGAACACCGGUGGCGAAGGCGGUUCUCUGGGCAUUACCUGACGCUGAGGAGCGAAAGUGUGGGGAGCGAACAGG
RNAcentral lists this ribosomal RNA (253 nucleotides) under uncultured bacterium. Its description in RNAcentral is "partial 16S ribosomal RNA". It matches the Rfam family "Bacterial small subunit ribosomal RNA", at positions 524 to 776 of the family's 1533-position model. The record is from RNAcentral.